CCCUGGAAAAUUGGCUGCCAUGACAGUAUUUUCUGUCUUUUGGUGGGCUUAUUAGAAGCCGAUAGCAUAAGCUAAGUUGAUGUACACCUUCCUGACUUUUCCUACUAAAAGGAGGUUCACAUCCCAUUAUUAUUGUUUUGCCACUUUGCAGAGUUCAUUCUGCUUCUAUAAGCUGCUGAAGAGCAUAACAAUUUAUGCAAAACAACAACAAAGAGUUUGAGUGCAAAUUUGUUUCCUCCACAGAAUUUUAUGCAGACAACAGAAUCCACCUCUCCAUGCCAUUAUAAUCUGAGUAUCCUUGGACUAGCUUUUUUAUGACAACACAGACCACAAACUGGAAAGGAAGAGAGUGGAAGAGACAUAAUUGCGCACUAUCAUUACUGAGCACUAAAUGAACCCCAUGGAGCAUAAUGCAGAGAAGCAUACUUCCUCAUGGUGCCUUUAGUUCCCCAGGGGGGUCUGUUAAGUACUUUGUAGUUCUCUGUGCCAGCCUGAAAAGAAGCCACCACUGGGAGUAGAGCUUAAUGUCCUAAUUCCCAAAUCAUUUAGAGCAAGAAAUAUGUUCACUCUUGACUCAUGGGGAAGCAGAAAUGUACAUAUCAGAAUUCAGGAUGGGAUGCCAGAUAAACAGAUAACAACUAAA
Molecule: long non-coding RNA, 643 nt
Filed under: Podarcis lilfordi (Lilford's wall lizard)
Lineage: Eukaryota; Metazoa; Chordata; Lepidosauria; Squamata; Lacertidae
Source: RNAcentral